Hippopotamus amphibius kiboko is the source of this 107-nucleotide small nuclear RNA. Lineage: Eukaryota; Metazoa; Chordata; Mammalia; Artiodactyla; Hippopotamidae. The record is from RefSeq and is a predicted model, not a curated record.
GCGCUUGUUUGGGCAGCACAUAUGCUAAAACUGGAACGAUACAGAGAAGAUGAGCAUGGCCCCUGUGCAAGGAUGACACUCAAAUUCGUGAGGAGGUCUAUAUUUUU